CAAAGGGGGACUUCUAAACGAUCUUUAAGAUAAUGUAAGACGGGAUAAAUGCGCUUUCGUGUAUCCAGUAAAAUUUUCCUUGCAAUAAACUUCUGCCGCAGAGUAAGACAUCACUUGUCUAAAACAUGUGCGGAAAAAUAGGUAAAACGGUGGUGAGGGUUGAAUCUAGAAUAAAGGAAUGUAUUUAAAGAGCGCUUGCGAAUUUUCUUAGUGUUCAGUGCUUUGUUUUCUUACAGUAAGCUCAUACAUCAAUUUUGUUGGCCUAUGGUUUAAUACUAUUGGUUCAACUUGAACCCAAUAUCUGAAAAAAGCAUAAAGAAGCCUAACUCUGCAAACCGAAUCAACCAGUCAUUAUCGACAUAGAUACAUAUAGCACAAUUAAAUUCUAGUUACACUCAAAUUGAUACGUUUAGACCACCAAAAUGACAAACAUUUUCAGUCGCUUGUACUAUCUUGGAUUGGGAGUUCUAGUAUCUAUCUGCUUAAUUACAGCGUAUCCUUUAUCAGGCGAUGAAGAAAAAUUCUUGGAACGAGAAGUAAGCGUGUAAUUUUAAUUUAUUUAUAAAACUAU
This is a long non-coding RNA of Agrilus planipennis (emerald ash borer), 571 nucleotides long. RefSeq lists it as uncharacterized. The record is from RefSeq and is a predicted model, not a curated record. NCBI's taxonomy places the organism in Eukaryota, Metazoa, Arthropoda, Insecta, Coleoptera, Buprestidae. The transcript has 3 exons.